AGGAGUCGCCAGGGCUGCGUAGGCUUGUGGCGCGCCCGCGGAGAGGCCGGGGCUCUGACGCCCGCUCUGCGGCUUCGGUGUUUGAACAGGCCACAGUCCAGGAGCGCUUACAUUCAGGAGCUCCGCGUAGCACCUGCCCAACCAAACUCAGCCCUCCGUUAAGAUCCUGGUUCCAUGCCGCAGUAGGACAGCAGGCCCAAGUCUGCACAUCCCAGUGAUGCACCAUGCCAAUAGUGGAUAAGUUGAAGGAGGCCCUGAAACCCGGCCGCAAGGACUCGGCUGAUGAUGGAGAACUGGGGAAGCUUCUUGCCUCCUCUGCCAAGAAGGCAGUGAGCACACGUAUGAGAGCUGUGGUGACGGAGUCCCAGCCCCGCAGAAAGUGCUUUUCCCCACGGAGCGACUGUCUCUGAGGUGGGAGCGGGUCUUCCGCGUGGGCGCAGGACUCCACAACCUUGGCAACACCUGCUUUCUCAAUGCCACCAUCCAGUGCUUGACCUACACACCACCUCUAGCCAACUACCUGCUCUCCAAGGAGCAUGCUCGCAGCUG
This 549-nucleotide long non-coding RNA is filed under the name Homo sapiens (human). RNAcentral's name for it is "non-protein coding lnc-TIMP2-1:1". The record is from RNAcentral. Lineage: Eukaryota; Metazoa; Chordata; Mammalia; Primates; Hominidae.